RNAcentral lists this ribosomal RNA (36 nucleotides) under Polyblastidium japonicum. Its description in RNAcentral is "partial 18S ribosomal RNA". The record is from RNAcentral. Lineage: Eukaryota; Fungi; Ascomycota; Lecanoromycetes; Caliciales; Physciaceae.
CUCUGCUUCCGUAGGUGACCUGCGGAAGGACAUUAC